GCAGACACAUUCCAGCCAAUCAGCAGCAGACCCUCCCUCCCAGACCCUCCCACCUCCUGGACAGCAUCCAUUGUGAAGCUGCAUUCUUAGUGAGCUGUCCAGGAGGUGGGAGGGUCUGGGAGGGAGGGUCUGCUGCUGAUUGGCUGGAAUGUGUUUG
This is a non-coding RNA of Pelobates cultripes (western spadefoot toad), 157 nucleotides long. NCBI's taxonomy places the organism in Eukaryota, Metazoa, Chordata, Amphibia, Anura, Pelobatidae. The record is from the annotation of a GenBank genome assembly.